UACGGAGGGAGCUAGCGUUGUUCGGAAUUACUGGGCGUAAAGAGCGCGUAGGCGGCUAACUAAGUUGGGAGUGAAAUCCCAGGGCUUAACCCUGGAAUGGCUUUCAAAACUGGUUAGCUAGAGGACGAUAGAGGAUGGUGGAAUUCCUAGUGUAGAGGUGAAAUUCUUAGAUAUUAGGAGGAACAUCGGAGGCGAAGGCGACCAUCUGGGUCGUAUCUGACGCUGAGGCGCGAAAGCGUGGGGAGCAAACAGG
This 253-nucleotide ribosomal RNA is filed under the name uncultured bacterium. Its description in RNAcentral is "partial 16S ribosomal RNA". It matches the Rfam family "Bacterial small subunit ribosomal RNA", at positions 524 to 776 of the family's 1533-position model. The record is from RNAcentral.